AGUGAACGCUGGCGGUAGGCCUAACACAUGCAAGUCGAACGGCAGCACAGUAAGAGCUUGCUCUUACGGGUGGCGAGUGGCGGACGGGUGAGGAAUACAUCGGAGUCUACUUUUUCGUGGGGGAUAACGUAGGGAAACUUACGCUAAUACCGCAUACGACCUACGGGUGAAAGCAGGGGAUCUUCGGACCUUGCGCGAUUGAAUGAGCCGAUGUCGGAUUAGCUAGUUGGCGGGGUAAAGGCCCACCAAGGCGACGAUCCGUAGCUGGUCUGAGAGGAUGAUCAGCCACACUGGAACUGAGACACGGUCCAGACUCCUACGGGAGGCAGCAGUGGGGAAUAUUGGACAAUGGGCGCAAGCCUGAUCCAGCCAUACCGCGUGGGUGAAGAAGGCCUUCGGGUUGUAAAGCCCUUUUGUUGGGAAAGAAAGGCAGCAGGUUAAUACCCCGCUGUUCUGACGGUACCCAAAGAAUAAGCACCGGCUAACUUCGUG
RNAcentral lists this ribosomal RNA (492 nucleotides) under uncultured bacterium. Its description in RNAcentral is "partial 16S ribosomal RNA". It matches the Rfam family "Bacterial small subunit ribosomal RNA", at positions 29 to 507 of the family's 1533-position model. The record is from RNAcentral.